AGUGAACGCUGGCGGUAGGCCUAACACAUGCAAGUCGAACGGCAGCACAGUAAGAGCUUGCUCUUACGGGUGGCGAGUGGCGGACGGGUGAGGAAUACAUCGGAAUCUACUUUUUCGUGGGGGAUAACGUAGGGAAACUUACGCUAAUACCGCAUACGACCUACGGGUGAAAGCAGGGGAUCUUCGGACCUUGCGCGAUUGAAUGAGCCGAUGUCGGAUUAGCUAGUUGGCGGGGUAAAGGCCCACCAAGGCGACGAUCCGUAGCUGGUCUGAGAGGAUGAACAGCCACACUGGAACUUGGAAACGGUCCAGACUCCUACGGGAGGCAGCAGUGGGGAAUAUUGGACAAUGGGCGCAAGCCUGAUCCAGCCAUACCGCGUGGGUGAAGAAGGCCUUCGGGUUGUAAAGCCCUUUUGUUGGGAAAGAAAAGCAGCAGGUUAAUACCCCGCUGUUCUGACGGUACCCAAAGAAUAAGCACCGGCUAACUUCGUG
This 492-nucleotide ribosomal RNA is filed under the name uncultured bacterium. RNAcentral describes it as "partial 16S ribosomal RNA". It matches the Rfam family "Bacterial small subunit ribosomal RNA", at positions 29 to 507 of the family's 1533-position model. The record is from RNAcentral.